GCAAGCAGCUUGUGUGCUCAAUUUAGGCUUAUAAACCUUUGUCAAAUGGAAGAACGGAUAACCCAAUACAGAGAAGGACAGCCAAGAAGAUACAUUUAAGGUAACAGCGGGAUUCGAACCCGCUUCAUCCACGUUUAUGCUUAAAGAGGAGUAGGACAAUUUGUUUUUCCCACCAGAAUUUUGUUUUUUUAACAUAAACUUGCUCUUUUUUGCUAAAGUCGAAAUUUAAAAAAAGGAAUUGGUUGCCAUAAAACUAUCAAGAUUUAUAAAAAUUGGUGUUUUUUUUAUCUCAUUUAGCCGAAGCAGAAAAAAAAACGGUUUUGAUAGGAUUAUAAGUUAUGUGUCGAUCGACUGAAAUGUGUUGGGAGUUUUGCAGAUAGCCUGAUAUAUUUGAAAAUGGCAAUGUUAGACAUAAAAAGAAACAAAAUUAAAUGCCGAGAAUGUCAAAUAGCUGCAUUCAAGUACGCACCUGAUUUUUUUUUAAUUACAACAGCAAUUUGUGCGGCCCCCGAGUUUGCAUAUAAACCUCAGUGUUCACAAAAACUGUCCUCGGCAGUAGUGAAAUCGAAGUGAGUGUCCUACUUCUGUUGUGAAAAGGUUUUUAAAAAAUAUAUGAUUUACUACCCCUGGUGAUGUUGCUGAGCUACUUAAGAUCAUUGGUAUUCAAACCAUGGAAACCAACAGAUAUUUUCUGCGAAACAGGAAUCACUAUAACUUGAGACCUAGAAAGAAGAAAAGAAACCCCCGGGUCAGCAACAUCGUGAAAAGAAGUCGUCGAAACAGAAAGAAAUGUCCAGCAAUCCGAGUGACCGAUCUCUUGACCUCAAGGACUGACGAGUGUCCCAUUUGCCUGGACAUAAUAUUGGCGGCUCAAAAUUCUCAAUUAUUGACAUGUGGUCACAGCUUCCACAGGACAUGCAUUACGACUUGGUUCAGGCAGAACUUAUCCUGUCCUGUAUGUCGUCAGCGACCUGGUAUCACUUCGUUGAAAGUAUUGUUCCCCUUUGUGAAAUUUUCUCAAACUUUCGCUCUGUGGCUGUGGCAUACUGUUCAAAGGUCUUUGAACAGAAAUACGUAAAAAUAAAAAAUUAUUUUUAUUUUCUUUUAUUCUAUGUUAUGAAGAUCAUGCCAGUCAAUUGAUUCUGAAAAAUCAUAUUAGUGUAAAUGAAUUAUUGUUUGCUUUUGUUAAAUAGUUUUGUUAUUGUUUUUCUUAAUGCCAAAAAUAAAGUCUAUAUCAUUCAUAGAACAAAA
Parasteatoda tepidariorum (common house spider) is the source of this 1251-nucleotide RNA transcript. RefSeq lists it as uncharacterized. NCBI's taxonomy places the organism in Eukaryota, Metazoa, Arthropoda, Arachnida, Araneae, Theridiidae. The record is from RefSeq and is a predicted model, not a curated record.